This 520-nucleotide ribosomal RNA is filed under the name uncultured bacterium. RNAcentral describes it as "bacterial SSU rRNA". It matches the Rfam family "Bacterial small subunit ribosomal RNA", at positions 120 to 674 of the family's 1533-position model. The record is from RNAcentral.
GGGAACAUACCCUUUUCUACGGAAUAGCUCUGGGAAACUGGAAUUAAUACCGUAUACGCCCUACGGGGGAAAGAUUUAUCGGGGAAGGAUUGGCCCGCGUUGGAUUAGCUAGUUGGUGGGGUAAAGGCCUACCAAGGCGACGAUCCAUAGCUGGUCUGAGAGGAUGAUCAGCCACAUUGGGACUGAGACACGGCCCAAACUCCUACGGGAGGCAGCAGUGGGGAAUAUUGGACAAUGGGCGCAAGCCUGAUCCAGCCAUGCCGCGUGAGUGAUGAAGGCCUUAGGGUUGUAAAGCUCUUUCACCGAUGAAGAUAAUGACGGUAGUCGGAGAAGAAGCCCCGGCUAACUUCGUGCCAGCAGCCGCGGUAAUACGAAGGGGGCUAGCGUCGUUCGGAAUUACUGGGCGUAAAGCGCACGUAGGCGGAUAUUUAAGUCAGGGGUGAAAUCCCAGAGCUCAACUCUGGAACUGCCUUUGAUACUGGGUAUCUUGAGUAUGGAAGAGGUAAGUGGAAUUGCGAGU